RNAcentral lists this ribosomal RNA (257 nucleotides) under uncultured bacterium. Its description in RNAcentral is "partial 16S ribosomal RNA". It matches the Rfam family "Bacterial small subunit ribosomal RNA", at positions 524 to 776 of the family's 1533-position model. The record is from RNAcentral.
UACGAAGGGGGGCUAGCGUUGCUCGGAAUCACUGGGCGUAAAGGGCGCGUAGGCGGCCAUUCAAGUCGGGGGGUGAAAGCCCAGGGCUCAACCCUGGAAUUGCCUUCGAUACUGUUUGGCUAGAGACCGGAAGAGGUAAGUGGAACUGCGAGUGUAGAGGUGAAAUUCGUAGAUAUUCGCAAGAACACCAGUGGCGAAGGCGGCUUACUGGUCCGGUUCUGACGCUGAGGCGCGAAAAGCGUGGGGGAGCAAACAGG